GAGAAAUCUCAAUAAGUUAGAGACCGCAUAAUUCGUAAUGACGGGGUCGGGGGUUCGAAUCCCUCUUGCGCACCA
This 75-nucleotide transfer RNA is filed under the name Bradyrhizobium sp. AS23.2. RNAcentral describes it as "tRNA-Thr". Lineage: Bacteria; Pseudomonadati; Pseudomonadota; Alphaproteobacteria; Hyphomicrobiales; Nitrobacteraceae. The record is from RNAcentral.